AAAUAGACUGCUAAUACCGCAUAAGCGCACAGUAUCGCAUGAUACAGUGUGAAAAACUCCGGUGGUACAAGAUGGACCCGCGUCUGAUUAGGUAGUUGGUGGGGUAACGGCCUACCAAGCCGACGAUCAGUAGCCGACCUGAGAGGGUGACCGGCCACAUUGGGACUGAGACACGGCCCAAACUCCUACGGGAGGCAGCAUG
RNAcentral lists this ribosomal RNA (202 nucleotides) under uncultured bacterium. Its description in RNAcentral is "partial 16S ribosomal RNA". It matches the Rfam family "Bacterial small subunit ribosomal RNA", at positions 153 to 353 of the family's 1533-position model. The record is from RNAcentral.